UACGUAGGGUGCAAGCGUUGUCCGGAAUUAUUGGGCGUAAAGAGCUCGUAGGCGGUUUGUCGCGUCUGCUGUGAAAACCCGAGGCUCAACCUCGGGCCUGCAGUGGGUACGGGCAGACUAGAGUGCGGUAGGGGAGAUUGGAAUUCCUGGUGUAGCGGUGGAAUGCGCAGAUAUCAGGAGGAACACCGAUGGCGAAGGCAGGUCUCUGGGCCGAUACUGACGCUGAGGAGCGAAGGCGUGGGGAGCGAACAGG
This 253-nucleotide ribosomal RNA is filed under the name uncultured bacterium. Its description in RNAcentral is "partial 16S ribosomal RNA". It matches the Rfam family "Bacterial small subunit ribosomal RNA", at positions 524 to 776 of the family's 1533-position model. The record is from RNAcentral.